Molecule: ribosomal RNA, 465 nt
Filed under: uncultured bacterium
Lineage: Bacteria
Description: partial 16S ribosomal RNA
Rfam family: Bacterial small subunit ribosomal RNA
Source: RNAcentral
ACGAACGCUGGCGGCGUGCUUAACACAUGCAAGUCGAACGGAAAGGCCUCUUUCGGGGGGUACUCGAGUGGCGAACGGGUGAGUAACACGUGAGUAACCUGCCCUUGACUUUGGGAUAACUUCAGGAAACUGGGGCUAAUACCGGAUAGGAGCUCCUGCUGCAUGGUGGGGGUUGGAAAGUUUCGGCGGUUGGGGAUGGACUCGCGGCUUAUCAGCUUGUUGGUGGGGUAGUGGCUUACCAAGGCUUUGACGGGUAGCCGGCCUGAGAGGUGACCGGCCACAUUGGGACUGAGAUACGGCCCAGACUCCUACGGGAGGCAGCGGUGGGGAAUAUUGCACAAUGGGUGGAAGCCUGAUGCAGCAACGCCGUGUGCGGGAGGACGGCCUUCGGGUUGUAAACCGCGUUCGCUCAUGACGAAGCUUUGUGUGACGGUAGUGGGUAAAGAAGCACCGGCUAACUACGUG